RNAcentral lists this ribosomal RNA (497 nucleotides) under uncultured bacterium. RNAcentral's name for it is "partial 16S ribosomal RNA". It matches the Rfam family "Bacterial small subunit ribosomal RNA", at positions 28 to 507 of the family's 1533-position model. The record is from RNAcentral.
GACGAACGCUGGCGGCGUGCCUAAUACAUGCAAGUUGAGCGCUGAAGGUUGGUACUUGUACCAACUGGAUGAGCAGCGAACGGGUGAGUAACGCGUGGGGAAUCUGCCUUUGAGCGGGGGACAACAUUUGGAAACGAAUGCUAAUACCGCAUAAAAACUUUAAACACAAGUUUUAAGUUUGAAAGAUGCAAUUGCAUCACUCAAAGAUGAUCCCGCGUUGUAUUAGCUAGUUGGUGAGGUAAAGGCUCACCAAGGCGAUGAUACAUAGCCGACCUGAGAGGGUGAUGGGCCACAUUGGGACUGAGACACGGCCCAAACUCCUACGGGAGGCAGCAGUAGGGAAUCUUCGGCAAUGGACGAAAGUCGGACCGAGAAACGCCGCGUGAGUGAAGAGGGUUUUCGGAUCGUAAAACUCUGUUGGUAGAGAAGAACGUGGGUGAGAGUGGAAAGCUCAUAAAGUGACGGUAACUACCCAGAAGGGGACGGCUAACUACGUG